This 497-nucleotide ribosomal RNA is filed under the name uncultured bacterium. RNAcentral's name for it is "partial 16S ribosomal RNA". It matches the Rfam family "Bacterial small subunit ribosomal RNA", at positions 28 to 507 of the family's 1533-position model. The record is from RNAcentral.
GAUGAACGCUGGCGGCGUGCCUAAUACAUGCAAGUCGAGCGAACGGACGAGAAGCUUGCUUUUCUGAUGUUAGCGGCGGACGGGUGAGUAACACGUGGAUAACCUACCUAUAAGACUGGGAUAACUUCGGGAAACCGGAGCUAAUACCGGAUAAUAUUUUGAACCGCAUGGUUCAAAAGUGAAAGACGGUCUUGCUGUCACUUAUAGAUGGAUCCGCGCUGCAUUAGCUAUUUGGUAAGGUAACGGCUUACCAAGGCAACGAUGCAUAGCGGACCUGAGAGGGUGAUCGGCCACUCUGGAACUGAGCAACGGUCCAGACUCCUACGGGAGGAAGCAGUAGGGAAUCUUCCGCAAGGGGCGAAAGCCUGACGGAGCAACGCCGCGUGAGUGAUGAAGGUCUUCGGAUCGUAAAACUCUGUUAUUAGGGAAGAACAUAUGUGUAAGUAACUGUGCACAUCUUGACGGUACCUAAUCAGAAAGCCACGGCUAACUACGUG